This 253-nucleotide ribosomal RNA is filed under the name uncultured bacterium. Its description in RNAcentral is "partial 16S ribosomal RNA". It matches the Rfam family "Bacterial small subunit ribosomal RNA", at positions 524 to 776 of the family's 1533-position model. The record is from RNAcentral.
UACGUAGGGACCAAGCGUUGUUCGGAUUUACUGGGCGUAAAGGGCGCGUAGGCGGCUUGACAAGUCACUUGUGAAAUCUCCGGGCUUAACUCGGAACGGCCAAGUGAAACUGUCAUGCUAGAGUGCAGAAGGGGCAAUCGGAAUUCUUGGUGUAGCGGUGAAAUGCGUAGAUAUCAAGAGGAACACCUGAGGUGAAGACGGGUUGCUGGGCUGACACUGACGCUGAGGCACGAAAGCGUGGGGAGCAAACAGG